UGGGGAAUUUUGGACAAUGGGCGAAAGCCUGAUCCAGCAAUGCCGCGUGUGUGAAGAAGGCCUUCGGGUUGUAAAGCACUUUUGUCCGGAAAGAAAUCCUUGGCUCUAAUACAGUCGGGGGAUGACGGUACCGGAAGAAUAAGCACCGGCUAACUACGUGCCAGCAGCCGCGGUAAUACGUAGGGUGCAAGCGUUAAUCGGAAUUACUGGGCGUAAAGCGUGCGCAGGCGGUUUGCUAAGACCGAUGUGAAAUCCCCGGGCUCAACCUGGGAACUGCGUUGGUGACUGGCAGGCUAGAGUAUGGCAGAGGGGGGUAGAAUUCCACGUGUAGCAGUGAAAUGCGUAGAGAUGUGGAGGAAUACCGAUGGCGAAGGCAGCCCCCUGGGCCAAUACUGACGCUCAUGCACGAAAGCGUGGGGAGCAAAACAGGAUUAGAUACCCUGGUAGUCCACGCCCUAAAACGAUGUCAACUAGUUGUUGGGGAUUCAUUUCCUUAGUAACGUAGCUAACGCGUGAAGUUGACCGCCUGGGGAGUACGGUCGCAAGAUUAAAACUCAAAGGAAUUGACGGGGUCAUAGCUGUUUCCU
This 587-nucleotide ribosomal RNA is filed under the name uncultured bacterium. RNAcentral describes it as "partial 16S ribosomal RNA". It matches the Rfam family "Bacterial small subunit ribosomal RNA", at positions 355 to 1375 of the family's 1533-position model. The record is from RNAcentral.